AGGAAAGAAACAGAAUAGCAGGGGAUGAAACAGAGAAGGGAGAAAGGAAGAAAAGAAAAAGGGAAAAAUAAGGUUUUAAAGGUUCCAAGUUAAUUUGGUAAGUCAAUUUAGCCUCUUUUCUUAUGAUUUUUGAGUUUUUGGAAUCCUAGAGAUAAAUACUACUUGUUUUAUGUAGAAAUUUUGAAAGUCAUUAGAUUUCUAAGUAUGGUUCAUAUUGAAUAAAAUGAUGGAAUUGGGGGUUUAUUUGAUAGAAAUUUUGAUUGGAAUUGAAUAAAGGAUUGAAUCGUAAACUAAGCUAUAAGUUUUGAGUUUUAGGGAUUAAAUGGAAAUAAAUUCGAAAUUAUGAAAAUAUGCUGGAAAUUUAAUAGUUAAGUAUGAGUUUGGACAAAAUUUGAAUAGAAAUGAAGUAUGAAUUGAGAUAGAAAAAGUAAGUGAAUCUAGUUAAGAUUAAAUUGAAAUUAAAGUAGAAAUUGAACAAAAAUUGUAUUAAUUAGAUAUAAAUUAGUAGUGAAUUAACGAAUAUGAAUUGUUUGAAUUCCCGUAGCUAAUGUUGUCUCGGGAAACCUCGGCUAAGCAAGGAAAAAAAUGGCAAAGACAAAGGGAGUUAGCUCGAGAAAAUACAGUUUGUAUUUCUAUAAUCCGAACCUAGUUAUUAAUUGUUAUAUUUUUUUUAUUCAAUGCAUUUAAUAAAUGUUGAAGUGAGAAUUAUUGUGUUUAUAAUGGAAAUGGAUUAAUUUGGUAUGUGAUGAAUUUAUAUUGAUUGAAUUAAAUUGAAUUAUAUAUUAUAAAUAUAUAUGUGUGUGUGUGUGUGUGUGUGAAUGAGAUAUUAUGCAAUUAUGAUAAUUGAAUUUUGGAUAAAUAUUAUGAUAAAUAAUUAAGAUGGGAAUUAUUUGUAUUGUGUCUUUAUAAUUGAAAUGAAUUGAUUUAGUGUGUGAUAAAUUUAUAUUAAAUUGAUUUAUGAAUAUCUGUUUUAUUGAAUUUUAUAUUGAUUGAAUUAUUUUAUUGAAUUAUAUUGAUUGAAUUAUAUAAAUAACUAUGAUUUAUGUAGAAAUUGAAUAUGAAUGAAUUUAUAUUGAAAAAUAUAUUGAUGGAAAUAUGAGGAAAUUUGAUAUGAAUAUAUGGAGAUUGUGAUUAUGUUAAUAUUUAUAUUGAAAAAUGAAUGAAUUGAAUUGAAUUAUGACUUCAUGUGACUACUUGAAAUAUAUUGUUGAAUGAAUGAAAUGUAUGAAUUGUGAAAAUGGUUAACUAUAUGUACUUAUCUGAAGGAGAUAUUGAUGAAAGCAGUAUUAAAUUGCGAAAUUGAUGAAAUACCCUAUUAAUAGUCGGGGCUUAAGUCAGAUAUAAUUGGCAUGCCAAGGAUUGAAAGUGUACGGGAUUUCCGGUUACAUUUAGGCCACUUUAUGUGUCAUAUUUCAGACGCCUCGUGUGUCGUAUCAGGCACCUCGUGUGUCGUAUCAGGCACUUUAUGUGUCGUAUACUGAUCAGGUACUAUGUACCGUUUUAGGCACAAUGUGCCGUACUGGUGUGUUUGGGUUGGAAUCCGUGUAUCCGUCAAAGUCUGAGUUUGUUAAUAAGACUAAAUAAGUGAAAAGAUAAAUCGACUGAAUUUGAUUGAUUGAACUAUUGGAAUGAAAUGAGAAAUUGAAUUGAGAAUUGAAAUUGAGAUAUGAGAUUGAAAAUAUGAACCAAAAGGUUCAUGAAAUGAGUGAAGUUCAAAUGGAUGAUGAUUGAUGUUAGAAUGAAUUAAAAUGGUAUAUUGUUAAGAAGUAAAGUGUGAAUACAAGUGAAUUGUGAAUAUAUUGAAAGAAUUUAUACAGUAAGCAAAUGAAAAGAAUUGAGCAAAUAUGUUGUUGUGUUUGUUAUAUAGCUUGUAUAGAAUUUUUAUGGUAAGUAAAUGAAACUUAUCUAUAAAAUAAAUAAAUGAAUGGUUAUAUUUAUCAUUGUGAUUUUAAGUUUAAUUGUUAUAUUAUCAAGUGUUCGGAUUAUAGAAAUACCACUGAAUAUACCAUACUCAACGUACAGUUUGUUUCCGUGCGCAGGUUUAGUAAAGAUAGAACGCUGAAUCAAAUCCCAAUCCGAUCCCGAAUUCAUUAAGGUAAAGUGUGUUAAUUAUUGGUAAUGGCAUGUACCAAGGAUGUCUUAUGCGUAUGUCAUUUUGAAAUUGUAAAUGUAAUGAUGAAAUAAAUAAAUUUAGAUUUGGCUAUGGUAUAAAAUAGGAUUUGACUAAUUUGGUAUGAAUUCGAAUUUUUGUGAGACAAUGUCAGAUUGAUUUUGGAAUUCCCUAUUCUGAAUUGGGAAAAUCAUUAAAAAUUGUAUAAAAAUAAUUACAGGCUAUAAUUUAUAUGCUUAGAAUAUUUAAUGAGUCUAUUUUCAAGAGAAAUAAACGGGAACAUCAUCCAAGUUCUGUGCUAUAAGAUAAUUAAAUUUUAGUAAAGAAAGGUCGAAACUGUCAAACAACAGAUCAGGGGUAACUUUGAGGAAUAAACUGUACUGAUUGGCUAAACCAAAAAUUUUGAAAUUUUAUGGUAGAAAGGUAUAUGAGUCUAGUUUUAAUAAAAAUUAACAGAACUUAAUUUGGAGUUUCGUAGCUCUAGAUAUAAAUAUUUUAGUGACUGUUACUCAAGAAGACAGUUUUGACAUAAGAAUGUAAAUGAAAUUGUGUGUAAUUAUUCUGUAAACUCCGGUAAUGCUCCAUAACUCUCUUCUGGGGUGGUUUGGGGUUAGGGGGUGUUAUAAUUGUUGGUAUCAGAGCUAUUCAUGUUUAGUCGAUUCUCGAAUAAAUCGAGCUCGGAAUUGAGUCUAGAGGUACAUGCCAUAAUUGAGUCGAAAUUGAGUCGGGAUCGGAUGCUGAUAUUUUUUUUUGGUACUAUUUUAUAGUGAAAAUGUUAGACGAAAAUAUCGAUGGUAUUGAUUAUGAAAUGUAUACUGGAGACUAAUAGUCUCGUGAAUUAGAUGAAAACUGAAUCAACAACACUGGGUAUAAACUCAAUGGGUAAUUAACUACUGAAUGAUGACUGAUGAAAUAAUAGAAAAAAAAUGAUACAUAAUUAUUUAGAAUUAUAACUGAUGUUCUUCAGUGAAUAGAAGAAAUUGUAUUUGUUAUGAUAUAUGCCCCUCCUGUUUCUCAAUCGGUUCCCGAAGUGCUUCAAGGUACAGAGUUUGUCUGAAUGGAUAACAUAUCUGUUGUUAAUAUUUUGUACAUAUAGUGUGGAAGAAUUGAAAAUUACAGCUGAACAUAUCUGUUGUUAAUAUUUUGUACAUAUAGUGUGGAAGAAUUGAAAAUUACAGCUGAAAAUGAUCUUGAAAGAAUUAAAAUUUGGCAAGAGAAUAUUAUCAAGGCUGUAAAUGAAUUGCUUGGUUCGUCGAAUAAAUGAUAGGAAGGUAUGAUAUUUCUACUAAAAGAUUCAAUCUACCAAAGGUGGAAAAUAUUGAUUUAUGCUGUAACUAUGAAAGGGUUAUUUGGAAUUUUCUAAAAUGAAUUCUGAAAGAAAUAUAUGUUAGUCAGAGAUUUCCUGAUUAGAAAUGCAAAGAAAUUUUUGAAGCUUAAACAGGGUCAUAUGAUUGUAACUAAGUAUGAAGGGAAUUUGUUUGAUUGAAUAAGUAUAUCAGAGGGUAUAUUCCAAUAGAAACCAUAAUGUACAAGUAGUUUGAAGAUGGUUUAAAUGAAAACAUAAAGUCGAAGAAUGUAGAAUAAAGAGUGAAAUAUGAGUUAGAUAUGAUUCUUCUGAUCAUUAUCUUAGUGAUUGAUUGAAGAGAGUUGAAAGAGAUAUUAUUUAAAUUUCAAGACAGAAUACAACAGUUAUUAGAGGUAGAUUACUCUGUAACCUAGAAAUGCGAGUGGUAGUCGAAGUGUGAUAGAGGAUUUCACUAUAAAAUCUGGAGAAUGAAUAUCAGCCAGGGCAUAUGUUAAUUGUAUAUAAGAAGAUGUUUCUCUACCGGGUGUCAUUACAGGUACCUUCUUCUUUUAUCGGCACUGAUAUGAUUAUUUUAAAUUGAUAUUGGUUUUAUUUAUUCGUAUGAUUGCAUGAAUUUAGCAUUUAUUAAAGAUUUUUCUGUUUAGUUCGACGAAUUAUUGGUUGAAGUAUCAAAUUUUUCGGAUCAGUAUUUAUUGAUUGAUAAAAUUACAAGAACUGUUUGAUAAUGAUAUUAGGGUACUGUUUCCUGAUUGAUUUGAUGUUAUUAUUAUUUGAUGUUAUUUCAAGAACGGAAUGGUUAAUUCUACAUGAUAUGGUGGUGAAUUGUAAGCAAAAGUGCAUUAUACUGCAAGGUUAGAACGAUGAAAAUUGAACUAAUUGUUUAUUGUGAUAUUGAACAUGUCAACACAGAAAUGUGCUAGAAAAGGGUUGUGGUAUUUACUUUGCUUAUGAAUUGGAUAUUAAAGUAUCUGAGUCAAAUUUUAAUUCAAUGGCAAUUUUGAUGUGUUUCCGGAAGAGUUACCCGAAUUACUGUUGGUUGAAGAAGCUAAAUUUAUUAUAGAUCUUGUGCCUGAAAUAAUAUUGAAAAAUGUAUCUGAAAUCAGAGAAUUUUUGAGAUUAGUCGGUUAUUAUCAGAAAGUUAAAAAAAGAUUUUUGAAAUAUAUGGUUACCAUAGAAAGAUAUGGCAUUGUAAUGAUCUGAUAAAUGUCAGUAAAGUUUUAAUCAGUUGAAAACUCAGUAAACUGAAGCACUAGUUCUGGUUUAGCCUAAAAUCCAGUAAAGAAACUUGUGAUUUACAGGGAUAGCAGUGUUUGACGCAAGAAAAUGAAUUAACGGUUUAUGUUUUGGAAAGUUAGAACUACAUGAGAAGAAUUAUUUGAUACAUGAUUCGAAAGUGAUAACUAUUGUCUUUGUAUUAAAGGAUCAUGAUUUUAUAAUUGAAUAUCAUCCAGGGAAAAAAAAAUCAAAUGGAGUUAUGAACACUCUAUUGUCAUUAUCUGAUGAUCGCUCAAUUCUAAUUGAAAUAAAGGUUAAACUUACUUCUCUACAGCAGGUCUGCAAAGUUCAGAAAUGUGACAAUGAAUUAAUGGUUAAAUGGGUAUAGUGAACAAAUGAUUUUGAUUGAAAAUUUCAGAUUGAAUUUGAUGAUUAUUUGCUGUUUAGAAAUAGAAGCUGUAUUGAAGAAUUCAGAGCUUAGACAGAAGAAUUUGUAUGAAAUUUAUAGCAAUACUAUGUCUAUGCAUUCUGGAAGAAAUAAAAUGUACAGUGAUUUGAGGAAGAUGUGUUGAAGACUGGGAAAGAAAAGUAGUACUUUGAAAUUGUAUAUAAAUGUUUAUAUCAGAUACAGAUAUCUUCAGAACUAUUACAGCUAGAAAGGAUAUCAGAAUGGAAGUGGGAUAUAAUUUCUAUGGGUUUGAAUUAGAAUUAUCUCGAUCUUUGAAAAAGAAAGACGGUAUUUGAAUAAUCGUCGAAGGUAUGGUAAAGUCUGCAAAUUCUAUUCAUGUAUGAAUAAAUUUCUUAAUAAUUGUCUGAAAUAUAGGUUUCUGAGAUUAUCAGAUUUCAUGGUAUGGUGGUUUCUAUUUUUUUUUAUUGAGAUACGUGGUUUAUACUCUGAUUAUAGAAUAAGUACAAAAAGUUUUGGGUACGUGAUAACAGUUUUCAGCAAUAUAUGAAGUUUUGAAUGAUUAUGAUGUAAAACUGCAUAAGAUCUGAUUAAAUACAGUGAGAAAAAGAAUAUGCGGAAUUUUUUAAUUCGUGAAAUUGAAGAAAAGUAGAAGUGAUUCGAGAUAGAUUGAAAGCAGUUUUGACAGACAGGAAUUAUAUGUGGACUUGAAACGUUAGGAUAUCGAGUAUUUUGUUAGUGAUAUGAUAUUUCUUAAAGAUUCAGUUUGAAAGAAAAUUUUGAAGAUCAGGUUGAAAAAGAAAUUGAGUUCUUAUUCUGUUGGGCCAUGUGAAGUUGUAGAAAAGUCGGAUCGGUAAAAUAUUGCUUGGUUUUGCUUUUGAAGUUACAGAAAGUUUAUGAUAAUUUUUCCAUGAUUUGAAGCUUAGAAAAUGAUAUAGAUUAGAUCUGUUACAUGUUAUAUCGACAAAGGAUAUUGAGAUUUGACGCAAUCUAUCGUAUGAGAAAGAGCCGGUUGAGAUACUAGCCUGAGCGGUAAUGUCAUAAUAUUGAGGAAACAAUACGGGAACUGAGAGAAACAGCGAAAUCUUUGUACUUGUACCCCCGCCUCUCUUAUGAAAAUUUCAAGGACGAAAUUUAUUAAAGGGGGGGAGAAAUGUAACGACCCGAACUUUAAGGUUAUUAGAAAAGUAUAUUUUCGGGUCACCAUUUCUGAAAAAUGGAUUAGAAAAUAUUUAUUAAAAAAAAGUAAAAAUAUUUAUGAAGUUAAGUGAGUGAUUAAUUAAAGUUUAAUUAAGUAAAUUUAGCUUAAUUAAGGAUAAUUGGAUAAAAGAUUAAAUUGAAUAUAAUGUGAAAGUUUAGUUUUAAAGUAAUAGAAAAUAAAAGGAUCAAAAUGGCAAUUAAGCCAUACCCAUGAAAUGAGACGGUGAAUGAAAGAAAAAUCAAGAUUUUUCUUGAAUUAUGUAUAUUAUUAAAUUAUUAAAUAUAUAUGUAUAUAUAUAUAUAAAAAAAGAAAAACAAGUGUAUAAAAAUGAUUGGUACAAGUGUUAAAUAAAUAUUUGUUAUUAAAUAGAUUUUUAUUAUAGUUAUUAUUGUCAUUAUAUAUAUAUAAAAGAAACAAAAGAAUAAAAAGAGGAAAGAAACAGAAUAGCAGGGGAUGAAACAGAGAAGGGAGAAAGGAAGAAAAGAAAAAGGGAAAAAUAAGGUUUUAAAGGUUCCAAGUUAAUUUGGUAAGUCAAUUUAGCCUCUUUUCUUAUGAUUUUUGAGUUUUUGGAAUCCUAGAGAUAAAUACUACUUGUUUUAUGUAGAAAUUUUGAAAGUCAUUAGAUUUCUAAGUAUGGUUCAUAUUGAAUAAAAUGAUGGAAUUGGGGGUUUAUUUGAUAGAAAUUUUGAUUGGAAUUGAAUAAAGGAUUGAAUCGUAAACUAAGCUAUAAGUUUUGAGUUUUAGGGAUUAAAUGGAAAUAAAUUCGAAAUUAUGAAAAUAUGCUGGAAAUUUAAUAGUUAAGUAUGAGUUUGGACAAAAUUUGAAUAGAAAUGAAGUAUGAAUUGAGAUAGAAAAAGUAAGUGAAUCUAGUUAAGAUUAAAUUGAAAUUAAAGUAGAAAUUGAACAAAAAUUGUAUUAAUUAGAUAUAAAUUAGUAGUGAAUUAACGAAUAUGAAUUGUUUGAAUUCCCGUAGCUAAUGUUGUCUCGGGAAACCUCGGCUAAGCAAGGAAAAAAAUGGCAAAGACAAAGGGAGUUAGCUCGAGAAAAUACAGUUUGUAUUUCUAUAAUCCGAACCUAGUUAUUAAUUGUUAUAUUUUUUUUAUUCAAUGCAUUUAAUAAAUGUUGAAGUGAGAAUUAUUGUGUUUAUAAUGGAAAUGGAUUAAUUUGGUAUGUGAUGAAUUUAUAUUGAUUGAAUUAAAUUGAAUUAUAUAUUAUAAAUAUAUAUGUGUGUGUGUGUGUGUGUGAAUGAGAUAUUAUGCAAUUAUGAUAAUUGAAUUUUGGAUAAAUAUUAUGAUAAAUAAUUAAGAUGGGAAUUAUUUGUAUUGUGUCUUUAUAAUUGAAAUGAAUUGAUUUAGUGUGUGAUAAAUUUAUAUUAAAUUGAUUUAUGAAUAUCUGUUUUAUUGAAUUUAUAUUGAUUGAAAUUAUUUUGAUUGAAUUUAUAUUGAUUGAAUUAUAUAAUAAAUAUGAUUUAUGUAGAAAUUUGAAUAUUGAAUGAAUGUUAUAUUGAAAAAUAUAUUGAUUGGAAAUAUGAGGAAAUUGAUAUGAAUAUAUGAGAUUGUGAUAUUUGAAUAUUUGAUAUUGAAAAAUGAAUUGAAUUGUAUUGAAUUAUGAAUUAAUGUGAAUAAUUGAAAUAUAUUGUUGAAUUGAAUGAAAUUGUAUGAAUUGUGAAAAUGGGUAAAUAUAUGUAAUUAUCUGAAUGAGAUAUUGAUGAAAGAAUUAUUAAAUUGAGAAAGUGAAUGAAAUACCCUAUUAACUAGUCGGGCUAAGUCAGAUAUAAUUGGCAUGCCAUAGGAUCUGAAAGUGUACGGGAUUUGCCGGCUUUACCAUUUAGGCACUUUAUGUGUCGUAUUUCAGGCGCCUCGUGUGUCGUAUCAGGCACUUUAUGUGUCAUAUACUGAUCAGGUACUAUGUACCGUUUUAGGCACAAUGUGCCGUACUGGUGUGUUUGGGUUGGAAUCCGUGUAUCAUUCAAAGUCUGGGUUUGUUAAUAAGGCUAAAUAAGUGAAAAGAUAAAUCGACUGAAUUUGAUUGAUUGAACUAUUGGAAUGAAAUGAGAAAUUGAAUUGAGAAUUGAAAUUGAGAUAUGAGAUUGAAAAUAUGAACCAAAAGGUUCAUGAAAUGAGUGAAGUUCAAAUGGAUGAUGAUUGAUGUUAGAAUGAAUUAAAAUGGUACAUUGUUAAGAAGUAAAGUGUGAAUACAAGUGAAUUGUGAAUAUAUUGAAAGAAUUUAUACAGUAAGCAAAUGAAAAGAAUUGAGCAAAUAUGUUGUUGUGUUUGUUAUAUGGCUUGUAUAGAAUUUUUAUGGUAAGUAAAUGAAACUUAUCUAUAAAAUAAAUAAAUGAAUGGUUAUAUUUAUCAUUGUGAUUUUAAGUUUAAUUGUUAUAUUAUCAAGUGUUCGGAUUAUAGAAAUACCACUGAAUAUACCAUACUUAACGUACGGUUUGUUUCCGUGCGCAGGUUUAGUAAAGAUAGAACGUUGAAUCAACAUCCCAAUCCGAUCCCGAAUUCAUUAAGGUAAAGUGUGUUAAUUAUUGGUAAUGGCAUGUACCUAGGAUGUCUUAUGUGUAUGUCAUUUUGAAAUUGUAAAUGUAAUGAUGAAAUAAAUAAAUUUAGAUUUGGCUAUGGUAUAAAAUAGGAUUUGACUAAUUUGGUAUGAAUUCGAAUUUUUGUGAGACAAUGUCAGAUUGAUUUUGGAAUUCCCUAUUCUAAAUUGGGAAAAUCAUUAAAAAUUGUAUAAAAAUAAUUACAGGCUAUAAUUUAUAUGCUUAGAAUAUUUAAUGAGUCUAUUUUCAAGAGAAAUAAACGGGAACAUCAUCCAAGUUCUGUGCUAUAAGAUAAUUAAAUUUUAGUAAAGAAAGGUCGAAACUGUCAAACAACAGAUCAGGGGUAACUUUGAGGAAUAAACUGUACUAAUUGGCUAAACCAAAAAUUUUGAAAAUUUUAUGGUAGAAAGGCAUAUGAGUCUAGUUUUAAGAAAAAUUAACUGAACUUAAUUUGGAGUUUCGUAGCUCUAGAUAUAAAUAUUUUAGUGACGCUUACUCAAGAAGACAGUUUUGACAUGAACAUAAGUAAAUGAAAUUGUGUGUAAUUAUUCUGUAAACUCCGGUAAUGCUCCAUAACUCUCUUCCGGGGCGGUUUGGGGUUAGGGGUGUUACAUCAAAGCUGGAAAUAUUCCAGAUCUCAAAACGUAGCAUUGAGGCGCGAAUCAAGUUGAUUCAUGUACAAAUUACAGAGAUAAAUUUAAAAAAAAAAAACAAAUGAAGCUCAAUCGAAUGACAGUGCGAAAGGGGAGGACCAAGCGCACAAUUAACCCUCUAAGACCAAAAGCGCGGAUCUCAUCCGAGCAUGGGUCGGGUCAUUAGGUUAUGACUCCCAGAUAGUGUCAUUUUUAAGCCAUUGAAAUUGGCUUACACGACGCUAUUUCAGAUCCUUUAUAAUGGCUAAACCCAACCAAGAAAACCGUUCGGUUGAACGAAACCCUAAUCCCUUUCUUUCUCUUUUGUCAAACCCUAAAUCCCUCACUCCAACUGCAGAUUCACCUCCACAAACAGCAACCAAUACAUUCAAGCUUGGAGGGAUGACUUUUUAGCCUUGAGAUCUCCUUUCGGCUUCAAUUUCAACGAAGCAAAAAGAGAUUUAUGGCAUAUUCGCAAGGUAAGACUCCUCUUUCUUUUUUCCUUUUAUUUUCAAACGCAAUGACGGAAGAUUUGAAGGCAAUAAAUCGCAAGGAAAUGCAAAAACUUAAAGAAAUUUAAACAGAAAUCACCUUCUAAAAAUUUUGACUGCUUUCUUUGUAUUCAAUAUGCGUUCGUCCUCUUUUACACUGAUUUUCUCGGCCUUUUAUAGCCGAUUUACAGGAUAAAUAGAAAAAGGAAAAAAAAAACUCUAAUUUUUUGCUGUCAUCUGCUGGUUUAUUUUCUGUUAUUGGGGCUGUUCUCGCAAGUUCUAUGGAGAAACGGCCGUACGAAAGAAGCCGCUCGUGGUGACAUGGAGGCCGUGAGUGGAAAAUCCCUCGUGAAAACCCGAUUCCCUGGCUGCAGUACUAGCGUGUUCUAGAAACCUCUAGGUUUUUGGUAUUCUCAAGUUGUUGGGCCUUUUUGGGCCAUUUUGGCAAUGGGCUACUGUGACUUGGACCAGGGAUUAAGUUGGGGGAUUUUGGGUGUAAUGGGACUUUGGGUUAAGGUCUAGGUCAAUAGAUUUUGGGUUUCAAUUUUGAGUCUCGGGGUUGAAUGUAAAAUUUGAUAUUUAAUUGGGCCAAAACUGUGCUUGUUGUAAUUGAUGGACUUUGGACCCUUUAUUUUUAUUUUGGUUUAUGGUUUUAUUUUUUAUUUUUUUUUGUUUUGGUUUUGGUGUGGGCUCGGGUGAAAUGGGCCUAUUACAAUAAUUUUUAAAAAAUUAAAAGAUAGUAUAUAAUAUAAUUAACUCAAUCAAAUUUAGCUUAAAAUUGAAAGAAACAAAUUACUUACCUUCAUCUCAUUGACUUAUCAUCUAUUUGCCAAUAAAAAAAAUAUAAAGUUUAAAUACUUUUAACGUAUUUAAUUGAAUCCUACUAAUGGAAGUAUGAGAGCUGACCUUAUAUUUGUUAUCAAUGAAGAACCAAUAGUGCAGCUUAGGUGAAAUUGGUUCUAAAAUGAAUUAUCACCUACUAAUGAUUAAAUCUUGGAUAUGUUUUGUUCUCGAAUUUGGGAGAUUUUGUAGGGUUAAUUUGCAGUCUAUGUUCUAAUUUGAAUUUUUUUUCUAAUGAUGGAUGCUGUGUUUUUAAAAUCUUAUUUGCAUUCCUUAAUAUUGAUUCUGAAUUAAAUGCUUUUUAACUAUUUAUAUAG
RNAcentral lists this long non-coding RNA (11060 nucleotides) under Gossypium barbadense (sea-island cotton). RNAcentral's name for it is "long non-coding RNA (GBAR_LNC011620)". The record is from RNAcentral. Lineage: Eukaryota; Viridiplantae; Streptophyta; Magnoliopsida; Malvales; Malvaceae.